GUGUAGCAGAACAUCUCCGGGCAUCUAUUUACCAUGACGACCUACAGUAAAAUGAGACAACUCGUCAUGGAUUUCAAUAUUUAUUGGUAUGAGGACGGCGACAUUUUCCUUGGAUUUGAUGAUCCUGGGUAACGUCCCGCAUGCCGCACACAUCAUCACCCGAUUGGGACCAGGAAUCGCCAGCGUUGGCUGGCUGUUCGACAUCGGACCAGUGAUCGCCAGUCAUUUCGUCGUCGGUGGUGGCAGGUAGUUCUCCGGAACCCAAGUCCUUCUACGACUUCCAGAAGGUUGCAACAGCCGGUCCAACGUGUCCGAAGGAUCAUCGUCG
Long non-coding RNA from Ornithodoros turicata, 328 nucleotides. RefSeq lists it as uncharacterized. The record is from RefSeq and is a predicted model, not a curated record. NCBI's taxonomy places the organism in Eukaryota, Metazoa, Arthropoda, Arachnida, Ixodida, Argasidae. The transcript has 3 exons.